This 360-nucleotide small RNA is filed under the name Drosophila pseudoobscura pseudoobscura. RNAcentral describes it as "GA31712". Lineage: Eukaryota; Metazoa; Arthropoda; Insecta; Diptera; Drosophilidae. The record is from RNAcentral.
GAGCAAGAGAUGGAGAGAGAGAGGAGCGUUGAGAGAGGGGAAUACCAAAAUUCCAAUCGGAAUUUCGGUCGGAGAAACAUGUCUAAUGAGACUUUUAUUUUAUCAUAGGCGCCGCAUUGAUAACAAGUUUUUCUACACACACACACACGCACACUCGACCACACGCUCAGAGUCACCCACGCACACACUGGCAUGCACAGCAUAUACACACACAUACACAGGAGCACGGCACGCACACGUCUCUUUCGCACAAGUGACAUAUUUUUUAUCAUAGCUGGUCUAUAACUUGGCCGAAACGCCUUUUCACCUUUACAACUCGUAUAUGGAGGACGGCUUUUAUGCAAAAAAAAAAAAAAAAAA